Molecule: ribosomal RNA, 253 nt
Filed under: uncultured bacterium
Lineage: Bacteria
Description: partial 16S ribosomal RNA
Rfam family: Bacterial small subunit ribosomal RNA
Source: RNAcentral
UACGUAGGGGGCAAGCGUUGUUCGGAAUUACUGGGCGUAAAGGGCUCGUAGGCGGCCAACUAAGUCAUACGUGAAAUCCCUCGGCUUAACCGGGGAACUGCGUCUGAUACUGGAUGGCUUGAGUUCGGGAGAGGGAUGCGGAAUUCCAGGUGUAGCGGUGAAAUGCGUAGAUAUCUGGAGGAACACCGGUGGCGAAGGCGGCGUCCUGGACCAAUACUGACACUGAAACGCGAAAGCCAGGGGAGCAAACGGG